This 430-nucleotide ribosomal RNA is filed under the name uncultured bacterium. RNAcentral's name for it is "partial 16S ribosomal RNA". It matches the Rfam family "Bacterial small subunit ribosomal RNA", at positions 29 to 506 of the family's 1533-position model. The record is from RNAcentral.
AACGAACGCUGGCGGCAGGCUUAACACAUGCAAGUCGAGCGCCCCGCAAGGGGAGCGGCCGACGGGUGAGUAACGCGUGGGAACGUACCUUUUGGUUCGGAACAACUCCGGGAAACUGGAGCUAAUACCGGAUAAGCCCUAACGGGGAAAGAUUUAUCGCCGAAAGAUCGGCCCGCGUCUGAUUAGCUAGUUGGUGAGGUAACGGCUCACCAAGGCGACGAUCAGUAGCUGGUCUGAGAGGAUGAUCAGCCACACUGGGACUGAGACACGGCCCAGACUCCUACGGGAGGCAGCAGUGGGGAAUAUUGGACAAUGGGCGCAAGCCUGAUCCAGCCAUGCCGCGUGAGUGAUGAAGGCCUUAGGGUUGUAAAGCUCUUUUGUCCGGGAAGAUAAAGACUGUACCGGAAGAAUAAGCCCCGGCUAACUUCGU